AGGCUCAUUCUUACAGCAAUAUCCCGCUAAACUUGCUAAAGUAAACAAAAGUCGACGCAGAAUCAUCGACCGGACAAAGACUUCGAACGAGCCUAAAUGGCUUGACUGAUCGCUAAAGGUAGCGGGUUGGAGCCGACGUGGCUAAGCUGAACUUGGUGAGGAGGGAGGUGACAUUGGAUCGAGAGCUCUUCGAAGAUCUUCUUGAGCUCGAGGACGAGAUCCGAUCGCCUGCCGUUCUUCUCGCUGAUGUUUUGGAAGUUGAUGGUGUGCUGAACAUACAAAGCCAUGUUCAUCUUGUUAACAUUCACAAUGUCCUUCACCACUAUGCUGUGGUUCGGCUGCCAAUGGGUGGGCUUACUCUCGAUAUAACUGAGAGACCACACAGAACCCUAUUAGUCGGCAAAUGUACGAAAAAUCAAAUGGGGCCUAAUCGCUUCCUAGUUCUUACUUGAAAGCGACAAACAAGGUGAUUAAAAUUUUGAAUUAAAAAACAAAGAAUCAAUGAGGAACUUACGCUUUUAUUUUGGAUUUCAGAGUCGCAAUGCUUUCCACAGAAGUCGAAAUGUCGACGGCGAAUCCAACGGAAUCGCUCAUAUUCGGGCUCCGGUAGAAGUUGCUGAUUGGUUUUGUCGACAAGACAGCAUUCGGAUAAUAUAUCUUCUCGUUGUCGUAUCUCAGAAAAACGGUCGUCAGAAUAUUCAUUUCUUCCACAGUCAUCUGUCGAUUUAAAUUAGUUCAUAGAAAUAUUAGAUCAUAGAACACUUUUUCCUUGUAUGUAUAUAUAUAUAUAUAUAAAAUCUUGUAUAUAUAGAAAAAAAAAAAUGCCAUCAUAUAUGAUUGUUUUUGAUAUUAACCUCACUUUUAUGGAGUAUAUACUACAAUAGGAUGUUUCAGGGCGAUGGAUAUACAUAUAUAUGAUAUUGCAGCAGGGACAUAUACAUAAGGUGCAAAAGUUGUAAUAAAGUCAAAAUAUUUACCUGUACUCCAUCAACGACGCAACGAUCGCCGACAUCGAAAGGGUGCAUAAUGAAGACGAAAAUGAUGGCUUCAAAUGUAGUCUUGCAUGUGUUUCCGAACAUGAAAACAACCACCAAAAGCUGGGACGAAAUGACGACGAUAACUUGGGUAGUUGCAAUGCCCAUCAUAAGAAGCAUAACAAUUAUAAUCACAAUAACAACAAUGAUGGUCGUUAGCUUGUGCAGUUGUCUGACUGCGGUUUUAGUGUCGUUUAGGGAAUGUGCAAGGGACUUCCGAUCGAGGUAGGCCUUCACCUGGAAACAUGGUCACAAAAAUUAAGCUAUUUACUCACAGCAAGCAAAAGAGCAUGUCCUUGAAGCAACUUUGAGGUUCUAUUAGCAUUUGGCAUCCCUUUACCUAAUUUCUGACUUCAUUAAAUUUGUCAGAGCACAUAUUUGAACCGAAUUAUCUUAAUAGUUUUCAACUAAAUGACAAAAGAGAGAAAGAAAUCAAAGGAAAAUACGGUGCUGCAGCGGCAACAACAAGGAACUAUCUAAUAGAAUUUGAAGUUUACAGAAUUUACCACCCAGUUCUUCAAUGCUGACUUCUUGAUCUUUCUUGUCUCAGCAGCUCCUUCAAACAUCGGAAGCACGGAUUCCACUUCCUCCUUGCUCAAAAAUCUCAUAAGAUCCUCUUCAUCUAUGUACCUAAGUACCCAAGAAGAAGAGGAAACACAUCAGGAGAGAUCAAAAAAAAAAAAGGCAAAGAGAUAUAAAGAAGGCAAUUGGAUUUUAAGAUCCAUCACUUGUGAUCAGGCUUGGCGACAUUUUUAAAAAUCCGGUAAGCCGCGGCCUUCGCUUCCCACUCACUAUUAAUCUCCCUAUCUUUCUGUUUCCAGCCUUCCUCGUCAAAGUUUUCGAUUGUGUUCGAGAUUGUAGUGAGCUCUGUAAAGUAUAAAUUCAGAAUUCAAGAUCAUAAUAUCAAAGCAGGAUGUCCUAUGUUCAAGCGCUUAAUUCAGAAUUCACAUCUUGGGCCAGCAGGAAGUCUCGAAAGCAGGCAUAAGGGGAGCAGUUAAUAUAAAUUAUCAAGAAUAACAUUCUCAAACAGCUUGAGCAUUUACAGAAGUUAGUUCUUUCACGACCUGAAGUCCUGAUCACAUUGAUUAGUCCCCUCAUUGUCCAAGCCGAGACCUUCUCCUGAUCCAUCUUAUGAAGCUUCCCGACAUCAAUCACUGCUUGUUCUUCCCCUCCUUUAGCCUUCCCCUUCCCGGUGCUCCGAAAGCUUAACUGCCCUGUGCUCUUCUCUCUCCCUACCUUCUCCGCCAUCUCCAUCAACGGCGGCCCGGAGAGCGCCUGCAGCAGGUACUGAUGGAAAAUUGACUCUUGGAUCCGAUCGAAAAACUUGGUCAUGUGGAAAGAAGAAGCUAAUAUCUUCAUGCCGAGGGUUUUCGCGAGCCAUAUUACCUAUCGAAUAUAAAACAUUACUCAUCAUUCUCUACCGGCUUAAACUUUUAGUUGAAAUUCAGAAAAUAUCAUAGCAAGAAGCCCUAAGCUCAAAUCUUCUAUUAGAAGUCCUUAAGCAUAGACACGAGGAGGAAUAUUAAAUAAGGGUAAAUUACACUUUUGGUCCUCAAAUUAUGGGGUGAGUGAUACUUUGGUCCUUAAUCUUUAAUUUGUUGUAAUUUUUGACAUGAACUUCUGAAUUAUUGCAAUCAAUUUCUGCAGUCCAAUUUAGUUAGCUGAAUAUUGAUAAAUUAUUGAUGCAGAAUUGAUAUAACAUCUUAACUUCUGCAUCAGCAAUUUGUCAACAUUUAGCCAACUAAAUUGAAUUGUAGAAAUUGAUUGCAAUAAUUCAGAAGUUCAUGUCAAAAAUUACAACAAAUUAAAGAUUAAGGACCAAAGUAUCACUCACCCCAUAAUUUGAGGACCCAAAGUGUAAUUUAUCCUAUUAAAUAUUAAAGAGAAAAAUGUGUAGACCUUACCGAAACUUGAUUAAAACAUUUUGAUUUUACUACCCUACCUUAUAAUAUUUUUAAAAAUUCGAAAGUUUUAAUCGUACUACCUAAUAUACGCAGUAUUAAUGACAUUUUGAUGGAAUAUUCUAUAGCCAAACGGAAUAUUCUGUCAAAAAUUUUACAAUUUGUCUAAGUUUGGAUAGUAAAAUAAAAAAUUUUGAACUCAUGUUAUGUAGUAAAACUUUAACUUUUGAAGUUGCAGGUAUAUAUUUCAAAAUAAGUUACAGUUCAGGUAAGAUCUAUAUAUCUCUCUAGUAGCUUAGAAUGUGGAGAUUAAAACCCACGAACUCACAUUCAGAAAGGGGUUUAUAAUUGACUCGAAUACCAUGUUAUCUGAAAGAUCGAUCCAGUAGAAAACAUGCACGGAAAUAUAUAUUAACAAUUUCACAGUUACCGAUCCGAUCAGGAGCGACGCGAGAAAGCGGGAGACGUAAUUGAGGAUCUUCGUCAUCUUCUUCGACCUCUCGAGCCCUUGAUUGAAGAGAAGGGACCAGGAAAGGAGCACAAGCCCCAGCCAAAUGCAAGCUCGCACACUAUCCUUCAACCCGUAGACGAAGUAGAGCACCUUCUUCUUCAAAAGGAAGUUCCUUUCGAUCAUGAAGACGAGCAAAUCGAUGAGCCACUGCGUCACCAAACCCCCGCAGCCGAUCACCGUCACCAUCAAGCACCAUUUCCAAAUCUCCAAGCCCCAGAUCACGGAUCCCUGGAGCUUGCGCACGGUUAAGCUCGCGAUGAGGCACCCCAUGGCGAGGAUCAGGAUCGCCCACUCGACCAGAGCCCCGAGUCUCCACCGCCGACGCCGAUUCGCCUUCGCGUUGAUAUGCUGCUCCUUCUUGUAGAUCUCCUCGUCCUCCUCUUCCUCGUCGUCCGCGUCGAGUAACGGCGUUUUGGGGGUGCCCAGGGACGCCCUAGGGUUUGGGGAGGUCGAGCUCGGGGUCGGGGCCGCCGCCGCCGCGGAGGAGUGGGGAGGGUGCUCGACGAAGCGGGAUUUGGGCUUGGAGAUGGAUCUGCAGCGGAUUAGGGUUUCGGGAUUGGGGGUUCGUGGGAGCUUCCUAGGGCUCGGCGCCUUGGCGAUCUCCGGGGAGGGGUUUCCGACGCGCGGGGGCGAUGAUUUCGGCGCCGAAUCCUCGAAACCUUCGACAUUCGCAGAAGAAGUCGGCGCCGACUUUGCUGCUGCUGCUGCUGCUGCUGCGCCGGUUUGGAUUACGACGACGACUUCGCCUUGCUUUCGAUCAAUGCUCCUCUCUUUGUGAGCAUCGUCGUCCAUGGCCAACGAAGAGACAAAAAUACNAAUUAUCUUAAUAGUUUUCAACUAAAUGACAAAAGAGAGAAAGAAAUCAAAGGAAAAUACGGUGCUGCAGCGGCAACAACAAGGAACUAUCUAAUAGAAUUUGAAGUUUACAGAAUUUACCACCCAGUUCUUCAAUGCUGACUUCUUGAUCUUUCUUGUCUCAGCAGCUCCUUCAAACAUCGGAAGCACGGAUUCCACUUCCUCCUUGCUCAAAAAUCUCAUAAGAUCCUCUUCAUCUAUGUACCUAAGUACCCAAGAAGAAGAGGAAACACAUCAGGAGAGAUCAAAAAAAAAUAAGGCAAAGAGAUAUAAAGAAGAAGGCAAUUGGAUUUUGAGAUCCAUCACUUGUGAUCAGGCUUGGCGACAUUUUUAAAAAUCCGGUAAGCCGCAGCCUUCGCUUCCCACUCACUAUUAAUCUCCCUAUCCUUCUGUUCCCAGCCUUCCUCGCCAAAGUUUUCGAUUGUGUUCGAGAUUGUAGUGAGCUCUGUAAAGUAUAAAUUAUCAUAAGACCAUAAUAUCAAAGCAGGAUGUCCUAUGUUCAAGCACUUAAUUCAGAAUUCACAUUUUGGGCCAGCAGGAAGUCUCGAACGCAGGCAUAAGGGGAGCAGUUAAUAUAAAUUAUCAAGAAUAACAUUCUCAAACAGCUUGAGCAUUUACAGAAGUUAGUUCUUUCACGACCUGAAGUCCUGAUCACAUUGAUUAGGCCCUUCAUUGUCCAAGCCGAGACCUUCUCCUGAUCCAUCUUAUGAAGCUUCCCGACAUCAAUCACUGCUUGUUCUUCCCCUCCUUUAGCCUUCCCCUUCCUGGUGCUCCGAAAGCUUAACUGCCCUGUGCUCUUCUCUCUCCCUACCUUCUCCGCCAUCUCCAUCAACGGCAGCCCGGAGAGCGCCUGCAGCACGUACUGAUGGAAAAUUGACUCUUGGAUCCGAUCGAAAAACUUGGUCAUGUGGAAAGAAGAAGCUAAUAUCUUCAUGCCAAGGGUUUUCGCGAGCCAUAUUACCUAUCGGAUAUAAAACAUUAAUCAUCAUUCUCUACAACUUAAACUUUUAGCCGAAACAUAAAACUCACAACAUAUAAGAGCAAGAAGCCCUAAGCUCAAGUCUCCUAUUAGAAGUCUUAACCACAGACAUGAGGAGGAAUAUUAAAUAGUGUAAAUUAAGCUUUUGCUCUUCAAAACUAUUGGGCGCGUGACACUUUGGUCCUUAAACUUUAAUUUUUUGUAAUUUUUGCCUCAAACUUUCUAAAUUAUUGCAAUCACCUCCUACAAUUCAAUUUAGUUGGCUAAAUGUUGACAAAUUGUUGAUGUAGUAGUGAUGUAAAAAUAUUAUGAUCGAUGAUGCGAGAAUAGUUAAGAUGCUAUAUCACUUAUGCACAAAUAAUUUGUCAAUAUUUAACUAACUAAAUUGGACUACAGAAAUUGAAUGCAAUAAUUUAGAAAGUUCGUAUCAAAAAUUACAACAAAUUAAAGAUUUAAGGACUAAAGUGUCCCGUGCCCCAUAGUUUGAGGACCAAAAGUGUAAUUUAUCCUAUUAAAUAUUAAAGGUAAAAAUGUGUAGACCUUACCGAAACUAUAGUGCAUCUUGAUUAAAACAUUUUGAUUUUACUAUCUGAACUUAUAAUAUUUUAAAAAAUCGUAUAACUUUUAAUUAUACUACCAAAUAUUCGCUGUACUAAUGACACAUUGAUGGAAUAUUCUGUAGCCAAACAGAAAAUUCUGCAAAAUUUUUUACAAAUUGUCUAAGUUUGGAUAGUAAAAUUAAAAUUUUUAAAUUCAUGUUAUGCAGUAAAUACUUUUAACUUUUAACUUUUGAAGUUAUGAGCAUAUAUUUCAAAAUAAGUUAUAGUUCAUAGUUCAGGUAAGAUCUAUAUAUUCUCUAACAACUUAAGCUUUUAGACAAAGCAAUCAAAUAAUAACCUGUUAAAUGUUGAAUAUAUGUGGGUAUUGAACUCCACGACCUCACAUACCCAAGGGGUUUAGAAUUGGCUCGGAUACCAUGUUAUCUAAAAGAUCGAUCUAGUAGGAAACAUGUACGGAAAUAUAUAUUAACAAUUUCACAGUUACCGAUCCGAUCAGGAGCGAUGCGAGAAAGCGGGAGACGUAAUUGAGGAUCUUCGUCGUCUUCUUCGACCUCUCGAGCCCUCCAUUGAAGAGAAGGAACCAGGAAAGGAGCACAAGCCCUAGCCAAAUGCAAGCUCGCACACUAUCCUUCAACCCGUAGACGAAGUAGAGCACCUUCUUCUUCAAAAGGAAGUUCCUUUCGAUCAUGAAGACGAGCAAAUUGAUGAGCCACUGCGUCACCAACCCCCCGCAGCCGAUCACCGUCACCAUCAAGCACCAUUUCCAAAUCUCCAAGCCCCAGAUCACGGAUCCCUGGAGCUUGCGCACGGUUAAGCUCGCGAUGAGGCACCCCAUGGCGAGGAUCAGGAUCGCCCACUCGACCAGAGCCCCGAGUCUCCACCGCCGACGCCGAUUCGCCUUCGCGUUGAUAUGCUGCUCCUUCUUGUAGAUCUCCUCGUCCUCCUCUUCCUCGUCGUCCGCGUCGAGGAACGGCGUUUUGGGGGUGCCCAGGGACGCCCUAGGGUUUGGGGAGGUCGAGCUCGGGGUCGGGGCCGCCGCCGCCGCGGAGGAGUGGGGAGGGUGCUCGACGAAGCGGGAUUUGGGCUUGGAGAUGGAUCUGCAGCGGAUUAGGGUUUCGGGAUUGGGGGUUCGUGGGAGCUUCCUAGGGCUCGGCGCCUUGGCGAUCUCCGGGGAGGGGUUUCCGACGCGCGGGGGCGAUGAUUUCGGCGCCGAAUCCUCGAAACCUUCGACAUUCGCAGAAGAAGUCGGCGCCGACUUUGCUGCUGCUGCUGCUGCUGCGCCGGUUUGGAUUACGACGACGACUUCGCCUUGCUUUCGCUCAAUGCUCCUCUCUUUGUGAGUAUCAUCAUCGUCCAUGGCCAAUGAAGAGACAAAAAAAACCCAAAAAAAAAAAAAAAAUCCUUGAGAAGCGCUUCUGAGUGAAGCAGUAGUAGAUUUUUUUUUUAGAGAAGUGCUUCUAAAUUGUGCGUGGGAGUGCGAGAGAAAAAAAAAAAAGAAAAAAAAGAAAAAAAAAAAGUAGCCGUUAAGGAAUUUAAAAAAUGGAUUUUGCCUUUUUAACAAUGCGCACGAAAUCGGAGAAAGGGGUACGCGAUGGAUCGCGAACAAUGCGGGUAUCGCUUGUGAUUCCGCCACGUGUCAAAAUACGUGGUUUCGUAGGAGGAAAAUGGUGGUUGGUGUUCGCGAGCGAACAGGAAAAGUUAUCUACGGAAAGUUGGGCGAGGUACGGAGUGCAAUGGUGAUGUCGACUAGUGCUAGCCCGGGAGCCGACAUAAACUCGGAACUGGAACCUCCUCCCGUUGGAAAAAUUUUAGAAUGCAACGUUUAUAUUGAUGACGUGACGUAAUAAAUUAAUUAAAUAUUUUUUUAAAAAUAUAUGUUUAAUUAUGAUUAUAAAAAAAUAUUUUUAUUGUAUUUUUAUUUGAAAAGAAGAAAUGCGAUUGACUUGUUAUUGAUGACGUGAUACAAGUAUGAUAGUGUAGAAUUCCUCCCUCCGUUGAUCUGUGCGAUCGAUCUUUGUGCUGGAUCUAUCUUAGCCGUUCAAUAUAUACGAAAAUUAACAUGCAUAAAAAUUUAGUUGAGUUGUGGUAAUGGUGUCCGAGUUGAGUUAGAAUACUCUCAAAAGUACCAUAAAGGUAGUGCUUUGGGCCCUGCUUGGUUCGGAGGAUAAGUGAGGAUAACGAAAGUUAUCCCCGCUAUUCCGCCAAACGGGGUGAAAUUUGGUCGGAAUAUUUUAUUCCGGUCAAACCUUUCUAUUUCCGGUUAUUUCGGAAUAACAAGUGAUUUGCUAUUCCACCAUUUUGGUGGAAUAGUACUAUUCCAAUGCUUAAUUUCAAACGUAAUUUAAAUUAUAAAUUGAAUUAAAACUUAAUUAUAUAAAUAUUAUAUGUUAUAUAAUAUAAUAUAUUAUUUUUAUUAUAAAAUUAUUAAUUGUACUAUAUUAAUACAUAUUAUUUAUAUUUAAAUAUUAUAAUAAAUUAUAUUUUAAUAUUAUAAAAUUUAAAGUUUAAAAUUUAAAAAUUAAAAUUUUAAUUUAAAAAUAUAAAUUUAAAAUUUUAAAAAUUCAAAUUCAAAUAUAAUAAGAGGGUAAUAUCAUUAUUUUUUUAUUUAUAAAAACCCACUUUCUUUCUUGUUUCAUCUUACCUAACCAAGCGCUAUGUUUUUUAUUCCCAGAAAUAAUCCAAUUUUUAUCCAAACGUAAAAUUGAUCUAAUCCCCGCUUCUACCUCAAUUUAUAUCUAUUUCUGGAAUAGCCACUUUUUGCUUAUCCUCGAACCAAACGAUAUCUUUGAGUUUUUAGCGAUUAGAUGAAGAGAUAUGAGAUUGAGAUGAUAGUGAUAGGUAGUAAUAGAUGGAAUAGUGUUUGAUCCAAAGGCUAUUAGUAAUCAAGGAGUAGAUUCAAGGACUAGAAACUUAGAACCACUAAGGGUGCUUUUAAAAGUAUUAUUCUAGCUCAAUUCGAUGGUGUCCAACCUUUAUCCAAAUUUUUAUUCUCGUCCCCCCCCUUUUUUUUUUCUCUUCCUUUUAAUAUUUUUUAAAAAUAAUAUACUACUCAUUUUGAUUAUUUUUUAAAAAUAUAGCUGCAGCUAUUAAGUGCUUUGCCACUUAUGCUAGUAAUGACCGAUAAUUUUUCUUUUAAUAAGAUUCUUAACCUUCGUAGGAUUAGUUGCUCUGUCAAUUUUUAACUUCUCUUUUAUGAGUUAAAUAGAGCUUUAUUAGAAUUGACAUGGUUUAUUUUAUUGAAGUUAAUAGAAAUUGAGACGAUUGAGACUUGAUUACGGAAAAAAAAAAAAAAUGAUAUCAAAAAAUAUAUAUAGGCCAAAUUAAAAAUACUAAUAAUAAUAAUAACAAAGAAUAAAAGAUAAAUGUUGGGAUAUUGAUACAGCUAUCCUUUUUUCGUCUGCUGGACACUCUUUAGAAUAAAGAAAUACUGCUGGUACACCUUUGGAGCAGGUGAUCUUAUAUUUCAGUCAUCUAAAAUAAUUAAGUAAAAAUUUAUUAUUUCAGAGAUAAAGUUAAAUUCAGAAUUAAGGUAGAAUUAAAAUAAUUUUGUAUUUGGUUGAGAAUUAAAUUUAGUCCAAGUAUAAAUAAAAUAGUAUUUAAUUAGAAUAGAUGGGAUAAGAAAGAUAGUGGAUAAAUUAGUAUUUUGUUUGGUUAGAAUAGUGAAGUAGAAUUAGCUAACCCCACCUCCCAAAUUAGGUGUUUAAAAAUAACUUCGGAGUUAAGAAGUUAUUCGACCCCUUAAACCCCGAACCAAACGGAUGCUUACCUAUUAGUUUCAUUUCCUUUUCAUGGCAAAAAAAAAUUAUGUAAAUAUUUAUGAACCGGACGGAGGUACAAAAUUUAUACUUAUGUAUUAACGUACAAGCAGCGUUUUCUUUUUCAAGAAGUGAAUAUACUUUGUACUUUGUACCUCCGUCCAAAGCAGAAGGAUGGUGGAGAGCGCAACUUCAAUGGGGAGCCUCUUCAACAAGAUCUCGUUGAGAUAAUUUGGUGAGCCCGUCUGAUUCACCCCGCGCCUGAAUCUUAAAUGUUUGGUUCUAAUCUAAAAGUUUUAACCCCCGAUCCUUAAUACUGGAUUAAUCAGCAAAUUUAAAAGAUGUCCAGUAAGCUGGAAUGAGGAGCUCCUCAUCCAAGCAUUUUCCGCCGGUGUAUGUGACCGUCUCAAGUUCCCCAACCACUACCGCGCUAAACAUCAAUGGGGAGGCUCAAUUUUACAGCAAUAUCCCGCUAAACUUGCUUAAGUAAACAAAAGUCGACGCAGAAUCCUCGACCAGACAAAGACUUCGAACGAGCCUAAAUGGCUUGACUGAUCGCUAAAGGUAGCGGGUUGGAGCCGACGUAGCUAAGCUGAACUUGGUGGGGCGGGAGGUGAUACUGGAUCGAGAGCUCUUCGAAGAUCUUCUUGAGCUCGAGGACGAGCUCCGAUCGCCUGCCGUUCUUCUCGCUGAUGUUUUGGAAGUUGAUGGUGUGCUGAACAUACAAAGCCAUGUUCAUCUUGUUCACAUUCACAAUGUCCUUCACCACUAUGCUGUGGUUCGGCUGCCAAUGGGUGGGCUUACUCUCGAUAUAACUGAGAGACCACACAGAACCCUAUUAGUUGNUGCCGAGGGCACGUUACUAGUUGGUUGUUAGACCAGUGUGAGUCAGUUACUUGACUUUGUCUUGUUAGAGCCUGUUUGAGCUUGACAGAGACACGCUGCAUACUCGGUUUGGUAGCUCCCACGAGUGCCACUCCGGAGUCGGGCGUAGUGCUUUUGCGUUGGUGUCGCUCAUGCCGGUUGAACUUGCUCUCCACGGACCAGUAGUGUGGAGGUAGCUGAUUGUCACAACUGGGCAGGGACGGGUGUGUUCACAGUCCCAGGGACGGGUAUGCUUACAGUCCCGAUUGGAUUGGGUCAGAUUUGACAUUUCCUACAGUUGGUUAGUGUAGAGCAUGAUAGUGUAGUGAUUCAUAGCGGUAGAUUUCAUUCCUGCAUUUACUACUAUCCUGGCUCCCUUCUGUAGACUUAGUGGGUGGACCGAUGUUGUUUAGGGUGGCACCCACUGAGGACUACCUGUAUUUACAGUAGUUCUCACGCCCUGUUGUUACCCCUGUUUUGCAGAGCCCCCGGUUUCGGCUGCUGCACUCUCCGAGACGGAUCGAGGCAAAGGCGUCACGAGUUAGAGCCCUACCCGACGAGCAGAGCUAAAGGCACCCCUACUGCAGGUAGACGUUUUGGUUUUCGGGUUCAUGUACAUAGUAUACUUAACUCGCCAGUGCGAGUAGCUCUGUAUUUUGGAUUUUGGACUAUGUAUGUGAAACUCAGUUUGUUUAGCUUUUGUUUACUUUAGCAGCUCUAUACUACUGUUUGUAGUAUUGUAUGAUUUAUAGGUACAGCUAUCGCUUCGUAUACAGGAAAAAUUUCUUUGUAUACGGCGGAUUUGUCGGCGUGCCCGGGGAACGAGACAUCCGGGGCGUGACAGAUUAAGUUGGUAUCAGAGCUUAGCUGUAGGUCAUUGGGACCUAGAAAACCUAAGUUGGCAAACCUUAGGAAGGCAAGACGCGAGAGGCGCGAUUUAUCGCGAAAGUCAAUGAUUAAUUGUUCUAACUCCUCCUCGAGCGGAGUGAGUGACUGAAGGAGUUCCUGUUUUGGCCUGAGAAAUUAUGUUGGCUGCAGACGACAUAAUUUUGGAGGAAAACAGGGGCCGCCUUCCAGACUUUCGUUGAUUGGGUCGAGAGUGUUUGUUGUAUCUGACCCCGAUUUGUUCCUUUCAGCUAUGUAUCGUCGCCGAGGCCGACCGUCGUUGCGGGAUCGUGCUCAGAUGACCCAGGAUCGUGCGGGACAUUCCGAGGUACCCGAGCAGGUGGAGCCGAGUGCCCGACAGGAGCACAUCACUAGACCGGAGACGAGUGCAUUCCCGAAUUUGAUUGCACAGUUAGCCGCCCUGACCGAGGUGACUAGGCGGCAGGGAGAGUUGUUGGAGAGGCUGUUUGAGAGAGUAGCUCCGCCGCAGAGUACAGUCCCGAGUGCAUCAGAGCAGGCUGUUCCACCUUCGACUACCCCAGUGACAGCGCCCACUGCAGCAGUUCCUCCGCCAGCAGCAGCUCCAGUAGCGCCAGUUGCGCCUGCUAGGGGACCAGUACAGUUGACAGAGGCCGAGUAGGAGCGGAUGACAGAAAGGCUGGCUCGUUUUCGCCGUUUUGAUCCGCCGACCUUCGAUGGCAGUAGCACUGAAGCCUGGGUUGUUGAGGGUUGGGUCAGUGCGGUAGAGAAGUUGUUCGAGGAUCUUUACAUUCCAGCGAGGGAGCAGGUACCCUUUGGAGUCCAUUGCUUGGCAGGCGAUGCUCAUGAUUGGUGGAGGAGAGUGCGACGAGAUCUUGGACUGGUAGCUUCCCAGAUGAGAUGGGAUGAGUUCUGUGGAAUGCUGUUCGGGAUGUAUUUUUCCAACAGCGUGAAACAGAAGCUCGAGGAGGAUUUGAGGAGGAUCCAGCAGGGUGAUCGUCCAGUGCAGGAGUACAUUCGGGAGUUCACUCGACUCCUAAACUGUGUGCCAUUUGUGGCCAGGGAUGAGGCACAUAGGGUUUACAUGUUCGAGCAGGGGUUGAGACCAGAUAUCUUCAGGUUGGUGCGGGCGCAGAGGUCGAGGACCCUGGAUGCGUCCAUGGAGCAGGCCUUAUGGGUGGAGAGAGGUGAGUUGUCACUUCAGGAGAGGACUCAGGCCGUGGGGCAGAGUCAGGAGAGGAAGCGCCCAUUUCCAGAGGACGGAGGACAGUCGAGUAGCAGACGUCCGCCGAGGCCUCCACGAUCACGCUCUCAGGGUCGUGGGUCUUCGGGGCGUCAGCGUUCUAGGGGAUCCCGUCAGCAGGGACAGAUUCAGAGGACACCGCAGUGUGUGAUCUGCGGGGGACCACACUGGCCCCAGCAGUGUGAGCAGAGAGAGGGCAGGUGCUACGGGUGUGGUCAGCCGGGACACAUGAGGGCAGCUUGUCCCCGAGCAGCAUCUCCAGCACCAUCAUCACCUUCAGCCCCACCAGCACCCCAGCAGUCUUACAGAGCAGCUUCGAGUUUCUGCCAGGAGGACAGAUCAUCUGUGCCGCGUCAGGCUGAGCGGCGACAGCAGGCUCCGAGUGGCAGAGUCUACGCAGCUCAGGUGAAAGACUCUACAGUAGUCGACCGAGUGGUGGCAGGUAUCACUUUGAUUUCAGGCAUUCGUACUCGUACUCUUUUUGAUACCGGUGUCUCGCAUUCUUUUGUUAGCCGAGCAUUUGCAUUGUUGUAUGGUCUAGAGUUAGGAGCUUUGGCACAGGCACGAGAGGUGCAGAUCCCGGACCAUGUUUUACAGGUUGCAGAGUGUUAUUGAUCGUGUCCGGUGCAGCUAGAUUCGUGGAUUAUGCCCGCAGACUUGUUAGUGUUAGGGUAGCUGCAGGACUUCGACGUUGUGCUCUGUAUGGAUUGGCUAGCGCGAUAUUAUGCUACGAUUGACUGUGGAGCGAGGACGGUGACGUUCCGCGAGCCAGGCCAGGAUGAGUUCACUUUCAGAAGAUGCAGGAGCACGUUGUUUGCUACGUGGAUAUCUUCGGCGAGAGCUCGACAGAUGCUGAGUAGUGGGUGUAUCUCUUUCUUAGCGAUAGUUGUGGAGGUACCUACGGCAGCGCCGGAACUUGAGGAUAUCCCUAUAGUUCGCGAGUUCCCGGAUGUGUUUUCUCCUGAGUUCACGACGUUGCCGCCGGAGAGGGAGAUAUAGUUUGUGAUUGAUGUAGUUCCUGGAACUGCACCAAUCUCGAAGGUACCUUAUCGGAUGGCGCCGGCAGAGCUGAGAGAGCUAAAGACACAGCUCCAAGAUUUGAUGGAUAGAGGGUUUGUNNNNNNNNNNNNNNNNNNNNNNNNNNNNNNNNNNNNNNNNNNNNNNNNNNNNNNNNNNNNNNNNNNNNNNNNNNNNNNNNNNNNNNNNNNNNNNNNNNNNAUUAAUUAAGGAAUGGAGCAUCUGCGUGAGAAUGCCGCUCGGCUUCUCUCGCUCUCGUUUUCUGACUUUAUCUCUGUCAUGGCUAUUAUUAUAAAUCAAACGGUUUGGCAUCCCCCCAUCCCGGACCCCCUCGCAUACUUUUUAUCGAAUUUUCCCAUAAGUUCUUUGUCGCCUGUAUGAGACGUUAUUGUCUGUCGUUUUGCAUUGUUGUGCUAUUGAGUGUUUUAAAGGAGAUGCGAUAGGCAUAAAAAACAACGUUCAAGUGAUUUAUAUAUAUGUUUCUUGAUUUCUCAAAACUUUUUAGGGAGUUGUUUGCAGUUAUUUUGGUUUGGGAGUCUUGUUUGCAGUUUUGUUUGGUUUUCAGAUUUGAUCGUAUUGUUUUUUUGUCAAUUUUAAAAAUAUGAUGAAAUAUUUACUAAAAUAGAUCUAACAGAUGUAAUUGGAAAUUUUCUUCCAAUUUUUUAUUUGGAGCAGUUUGGUAGCUUUGUUGGGCGAUGUUGUUUUUUUUUCGCUAGUAGAGCUUCUAAUUAUCUUUUAUUUAUUGUCGAUAAUUUCGUAAUGUUUUUGGUUUAUAUCCUUUUUUUACUUUAUGUUUUCUAGAUUAGUUUCGAUGAGAAUAAAACUACUUUUAACACAUUCUGCACAAAUAUUAAUAUAGGUCUAUUGAUUCAGUGGACAAAGCCAAUACAAAUUUUUUCGACCUUAGCAUUUAUUGUGUUAGCUAUUUUUUCUGGUAUUUACUUUUUCGGAUCACAUGAAUUGUGUUGUGUUUUUUUAUGGUAAGUUUUCUUUUAUUGAGUCAAUGAUAAAGGAUAGGGAAUUUGGUUAAGUGUUUUUACUUUGGUGAAAGUUCGAAACAUAUUGUAUAGUCGCCAUGUAGUACGGGGGUGGUUUCUAAGAGGACCUACAGCUCUCCGGGUUAUAUUGGCGGUGGGAAUUGACAGUAAUGCGGUUUUCUUUUUGGGUUUUUUGCUGGGCCUGUUGUAUAGCUGGUAAUCUCUAGAUAAAUAAUUUUCUGCUCGCUGUGAAAGUUUACUAUAGUUCAACUGUGUUGAAUCAUAUGACAGAAACUUUCUGAUUUUGCUUCGUUUAUAAAUUAAUUCGAAGGUCUUUGCUGUUUUGCUUGUCAUGUUUUCCAUAAGUACGCAUACGAUUUGCUCGUGUUGGCGAGGUUCGAAUUUAGGCUCUUUAAUGCACACUGACCACCAACCAUAGGGAGAAACCACGACGGGCUGUACAUCCGAGAACGUGCGGUGGAGGAAAAGUCGCGGCCCACACCACCGACAGCACAACGCCACCCCCCGGUUGUACGGGCUGUCGGAAGGGAGAAGGCGGACGGGACAGGCAAUAGAGCGAGAGAAGGCGGAGAGUACGGGAGAAGGCAGACGGGAUGUCGGAUGGGACAGGCAACAGGGCGAGAGAAGGCGAAGAGCCAGCGGACGGGAUAGGCAACAGGGCGAGAGAAGGCGGAGAGGCGCCAUCACGAAGGCGGAGGGACGAAAAGACAGCGAGGGGGGCAACGACACGUCGUACGGGAGAAGGCGGCUGCGUUCCCGAGGGAGGACAGCGAUGGCGUCGCGGCUACGAAACGAAGGCGGAGAGGACGGAGGGUGAGCGGGGGGUGGUAACGCCGCGCCGUACAGGCAAAAAAAAUCAGAGCGGGGGGAGGGGGCGCCGCCGUACGGGAAGGCGGAGAGCGCGAAACGUGGGGAGGGCUCGAAGCCAAUCGCCCUUGCAUAAGCUUAUAUUGAUAAAUGAUAAGUCCUGCAGCUUUGAAAUUGGAACCUCAACUUUACUCUUUAGAUGUCGUCUCCUUAACUUUUUCAUAUUUUAUUUUAUUUUAUUUUAUUUGAGCUAUUGGUGAGGGGUCACUUCAAAAUAGCCUAAAAUAAUUUUAAUACAUUUUUAUGGCUAGUUGUACGAAUUAACUAUCAAAUCGUGUAGAAAAUUCAGCAUGAGAAUCAAAUGUAUAAUUACUUUCAAACAGAAUAGUCCUACAUAGAACAAUAAACGAGUUGAUACGUAUCAUGGAUUGGAUGGAUAGAGUGCGAAUUUAUUGAAAAGAGUAUCAAUGAGUUCUUAUUGAGAUAGUUUAUUGAGUUGUAUAAUUAGCCUCAAAAUUUUAAAGUUCCAUUCCAUUUUCUUAUGCAUGUGACAGCAGUGUAUAUUUCAUUUCGGCGAAAUUAUAAGUUUGGCCUCAUACUCUAAAGCACCGUGACACUUUGAUUUUUAAACCUCAAUUUAUUAUAAUUUUUGACCUGAACUUUUCAUAUUACUGGAGUUAAGUUUCACUGUCUUAUUUAAUUAACUGAAAGCUGACGUGAUAAUUGUUACGACAAACGCACAAACGAAAACGAAAAUGGCGAACACGAAAUAAACAAAGCACAAACGGAAAUAAAAGAGAACACACAGAUUUACAUAAAAAAUUCUUUGCAAGAAAAAAUCACGAGCAAGGGAGGAGAAAAUUUCACUAUCGAAAAGGGAAUACAAUGCUCGAGUACAACCAACCACGAUCUCAAGCCUCUACGGGCUCGGACCUGUCGACCCGAGCCCUUCGCUACCCACCACAGACAUUCAUUUUUUCUUUAUAAUUUUAUUUUCUAAUUUGAUCGCACCACGAAACCCGCACUCCCUGGCAAAUGUCAGUGGUGGGCUACGGGCUCGGACUUAUCGGCCCGAGCCCUCCGCUACCCACCACAGACAUAUAUUUUUCCUUCACAAUUUUAUUUUUCAAUUUGGUCGUAUCGUGAAACUAUCAGUGAGUCGAAAUUCCGAACUAAAGUCGAUUAUCAAUUUCGAGUCACAUCUAAGGGCCCGUUUGGUUCGAGUUAUUCUGGCAGGAUUACAGGCAAUCCAGCCAGAAUAACUGUGUUUGGUUAAUCCGCUAUGUAAUCUAGUCGUUAAUGUAGCAUUACAAAUCGAGCAGGAUUACAUCGAAAAUAUUAACGGGAGGGGGGUCGUGUAUCUUGCAUUAAUGAAACCCGUUAAUACUACAUAUUACGUAAAAUAACAAUUUUACCUUCUAACAACCCCAAAUCUAAUUAACAACAUUAUUUUCAUCUCUCUCUCCUUCCCCCUCUCUCUCGCACGCCUCUCUCUCUCUCUCACACACAUGUCUCUCUCUCUCUCUGUCUUUCUCUCUCUCUCUCUAUCUCGUCCCUUUAUCUCUCUCGCAUAUUAUAUUUUUGUAAAUUAAUUUACUACUAUAAAUUAUAUUUUACUACUGCAAAUUAUAUUUUUGUAAAAAAAUAAUAUUCAAAUGACCACAACAAGGGCAAUUUUGAAAAAAACUAUAUUUUUAUAUCAGAAUUACUAAAUUUUAUAAACUGAACCAAACGUAUUAAUGUUAUAAACACUAUAAUCUAGUAUUACAUUACUGCAUUAAACCAAACGCGCUAAUGCAGCAUCAAUAGUAAUCUCACGCCAAAAUCCAAGAUACUUGGAUAUGUCGAGAUACUUUGUAAUAUUACAUAACUCGAACCAAACGGACCCUAACAGUAAUGAUGCGGCAUCUAUUUAUUACUACCUUAUAAACUACAACAUUUGUUACAACGCUACUGCCAUAUUAGCGACAGAUCCUGUACCAGAACUUUAAUACAUUUCAUUUUCAAUUGGGUGAAGUGUAAAAAAAGCAUUUUGACAUUUUUGUUUCUCACGUAAAAUGAGUAAAAGCGUUUUGGUGUAUUAGCCUUUUGGUGUUUCCCACGGCUCGCCCCACGCCGGCGCCCGCCCGCGCCCCGCGCCUCCAGCCCUCGGCUCGCGUCCACGCCAGCGCCGGAGCAGCCCCUGCGCCAGCGCCGGCGCACGUGCCCAGCCCCGUGCCCGCUCGCGACUCCGCUGCCACGUGUUGCCCUCCUGUUGAAGUUAUUGAUGAAUAAUAUAUCUAUAUAGAUGCUAGAUUGAAUAUUCCAUGUCAUGAAACGUUCAAUUUUGGAAAGUGAGUCCAACAUGUAAUUUCAAAUAGUUUUUACGUCUCUCUCUCUCUCUCUCUCUCUCUCUCUCUCUCUCUGUUACCUGGUUUAAAGAAACCAGGUAACCUGGUUUUAUUGAGGAGGGUUCCAGACGAUCCGUCUGGAACCCUCCUCUAGAGGACCCUUCCUCCCGGUUUCGGGAGGAGGGCUCCUCUAGUCUAAGGUCCGGGUUCCGUUAAACGAAACCCAAAAACCAAGGCACCUGACUUAAAGAAACCAGGCAGACCGGGUCAGGUUAGUCAGGCACGGCACGGAACCCUCCCCGAGAGGACCCGGGCCGCGCCGGGUCCGGGAAAAGGGCUCCGCUAGUCUGGCAUCAGCGUUCCGUUGAACGGAACCCGGACCCCAUACGCCCGAUCACGACCGGGCCGACCGUGCCAGGUGUAGCGCCGAGCAUCGGCACGGCCCGGUGGCCGAGAGGAGCCGGGCCGGGCCGGGUCCGGGCAAAGCCCGGCACGGCACAGCCCGGCAACCCGGGGUCCAUACGCCGGGUCAUGCCGGGCUUCUCGGCCCGGCCGGGCCGUGCUGGGCCCACGAUGUCACCAGCACGGCCCGGUGUCGGGCCGGGCGUCGACACGGCCCGGUGUCGGGCCGGGCGUCGGUACGGCCCUGCCCGCCCGGUGCCCGACGGGCCGGGUAAAAUGUGGGGAUGUAUACGGGGGGAACAUACAGUACAGGAUGAUAUUCUUUAUCUCUCUCNNNNNNNNNNNNNNNNNNNNNUAAAUAAAAAUUAUUUAUUGUUUAUAUUUUUGUAGAUUAUAUAUAUUUUUUUAAAAAAAAAAUUAAAAAAGGGCCGGCCCGAAGCACGGCCCGGCCCGGCACGGCCCGUGCCCUCCGGGCCGUGCCGGGCCGAAGGGUAGGAGUUCGGGCCCGGCACGACCUGGCCCAGAUUUGGUCACGAGCCGGGCCGGGCCAGGCCCUAGCGUGUUUCGGCUCGAAAAAUGUGGGCCGGCACGGCCCACAUUACACCCCUAGGCAUAUGCCUCAAUUGACACGAAAAUGAAAAUUAAACUAAGACUCAGAAACUCUAGCAUUACAUAACCAUGAAUAUGAGCUCCCAUUCUACAACUGUUAACAACCAAUCAUUACAUAAGCCUCCCCUAGGUCGAUUACAGCUACCAUCCAUCACGUAAAUUAGCACGAAUUCCAAAGCAAAAUGAUUAGCACGAAUUCCAAAGCAAAAGAAUGGUGGAGAGCGCAACUUCAGUGGCGAGCUCUUCAACGAGAUCUCGUUGAGAUAAUUUGGUGCCCGUCUGAUCCACCCCGCGCCUGAAUCUUAAAUGUUUGGUUCUAAUCUAAAAGUUUUAACCCCCGAUCCUUAAUACUGGAUUAAUCAGCAAAUUUAAAAGAUGUCCAGUAAGCUGGAAUGAGGAGCUCCUCAUCCAAGCUUUUUCCGCCGGUGUAUGUGACCGUCUCAAGUUGUGGACGAUCGCCCUCCAAGUUUCUGGUUCCCCAACCACUACCGCGCUAAACACCAAUGGGGAGGCUCAAUUUUACAGCAAUAUCCCGUUAAACUUGCUCGACGCAGAAUCAUCGACCGGACAAAGACUUCGAACGAGCCUAAAUGGCUUGACUGAUCGCUAACGGUAGCGGGUUGGAGCCGACGUAGCUAAGCUGAACUUGGUGGGGCAGGAGGUGAUAUUGGAUCGAGAGCUCUUCGAAGAUCUUCUUGAGCUCGAGGACGAGCUCCGAUCGCCUGCCGUUCUUCUCGCUGAUGUUUUGGAAGUUGAUGGUGUGCUGAACAUACAAAGCCAUGUUCA
Molecule: long non-coding RNA, 19515 nt
Filed under: Ananas comosus (pineapple)
Lineage: Eukaryota; Viridiplantae; Streptophyta; Magnoliopsida; Poales; Bromeliaceae
Description: long non-coding RNA (ACOM_LNC029806)
Source: RNAcentral